AGCAGUAGCCACGGGAAUACGUAGGUGGCGAGCGUUGUCCGGAAUCAUUGGGCGUAAAGGGAGCGCAGGCGGGCAAGUAAGUCUUUCUUAAAAGUUCGGGGCUCAACCCCGUGAUGGGAAAGAAACUACAUGUCUUGAGUACAGGAGAGGAAAGCGGAAUUCCCAGUGUAGCGGUGAAAUGCGUAGAUAUUGGGAGGAACACCAGUGGCGAAGGCGGCUUUCUGGACUGCAACUGACGCUGAGGCUCGAAAGCGUGGGGAGCAAACAGGAUUAGAUACCCGCGUAGUCCCUGUCUCUUAUACA
Molecule: ribosomal RNA, 303 nt
Filed under: uncultured bacterium
Lineage: Bacteria
Description: partial 16S ribosomal RNA
Rfam family: Bacterial small subunit ribosomal RNA
Source: RNAcentral